GACGAACGCUGGCGGCGUGCUUAGCACAGGGAAGUGGAAGGGAAAGGCCCGGCGUGUGUGGGGUGCUCGAGUGGCGGACGGGUGAGUAACACGUGAGUAGCCUGCCCUUGACUUUGGUGGAACUUCAGGGAACUAGGGCGAAUACCGGAUCGCAGCGCCUGCUGCAUAGAGGGGAUUUGAAAGUUGCGGCGGUUGGGGAUGGACUGGCGGCUGAUCAGCGUGUUGGUGGGGUAGUGGCUUACCAAGGCUUUGACGGGUAGCCGGCCUGAGAGGGUGACCGGCCACAUUGGGACUGAGCUACGGCCCAGACUCCUACGGGAGGCAGCAGUGGGGAAUAUUGCACAAUGGGCGGAAGCCUGAUGCAGCAACGCCGCGUGCGGGAUGACGGCCUUCGGGUUGUAAACCGCUUUCGCCUGUGACGAAGCGUGAGUGACGGUCCUGGGUAAAGAAGCAACGGCUAACUACGUG
This 468-nucleotide ribosomal RNA is filed under the name uncultured bacterium. RNAcentral's name for it is "partial 16S ribosomal RNA". It matches the Rfam family "Bacterial small subunit ribosomal RNA", at positions 28 to 507 of the family's 1533-position model. The record is from RNAcentral.